RNAcentral lists this transfer RNA (71 nucleotides) under Olea europaea subsp. europaea. It matches the Rfam family "tRNA". Rfam says of the family: Transfer RNA (tRNA) molecules are approximately 80 nucleotides in length. Their secondary structure includes four short double-helical elements and three loops (D, anti-codon, and T loops). Further hydrogen bonds mediate the characteristic L-shaped molecular structure. tRNAs have two regions of fundamental functional importance: the anti-codon, which is responsible for specific mRNA codon recognition, and the 3' end, to which the tRNAs corresponding amino acid is attached (by aminoacyl-tRNA synthetases). tRNAs cope with the degeneracy of the genetic code in two manners: having more than one tRNA (with a specific anti-codon) for a particular amino acid; and 'wobble' base-pairing, i.e. permitting non-standard base-pairing at the 3rd anti-codon position. The record is from Rfam by way of RNAcentral. Lineage: Eukaryota; Viridiplantae; Streptophyta; Magnoliopsida; Lamiales; Oleaceae.
GGCGACAUGACCGAGUGGUAAAGUGAAGGACUGCGAAUCCUUUUUCUCCAGUUCAAAUUCAAGUGUUGCCU